UGGAAGAUAUUUAGAUAGGACAAGGCAGGCUACAUGCAUCAAGUAUAUUAAUUAGAGACAUAACUGCCAUUCCUCAAAUUAAUAAAAUAAUAUUCAUAAUGCAGUACAUAUAGAGCCACUACAUUUGUUCAAGGGAAAUUUGACAACAAAAG
Long non-coding RNA from Hibiscus syriacus, 152 nucleotides. RefSeq lists it as uncharacterized. The transcript is spliced from 3 exons. The record is from RefSeq and is a predicted model, not a curated record. Lineage: Eukaryota; Viridiplantae; Streptophyta; Magnoliopsida; Malvales; Malvaceae.